CAGUCACACACAUGCACACACACACCUAGCUUGCUUCAUCAUAGUCAGACACACACACACCUAGCUAGCUUCAUCAUAGUCACACACGCACACAGGCAGCAAACAAGUUAACUUAGCUAAGUUAGGUACUUGCUAACUAAUGUUAGAUAGCUAGCUUGCUACUAGCUAGCAUCAAUUUUUUUUAGGUAAAUACUUUGCUUAUUCAAUGUGCUAGCUAUGAAUAUUGGGUCAUAUUAAUUACCCAGGUUCUGUUACUUUGACAGAUUUCCAUCAAAUAAUUAAUUUAAUCCAAAUUAUGCAUACAUUUAUGACUGACGGAGCCCAUGGUAACCAUGAAAACGUACAAAAACUUUAGUAGUGACUUAAGCUAAUAAAUAAAGAUAGCUGAGAAUACAGUUGAUGACAGUUGUUGAAAAACAAUUAACAAUACAUGUAUAUUCAUAAUAUAUGAGAACUACAUGUUUCAAUGAUUCAAUUUACCUGAGAAGAAUGAAAUCAGUUGCCUCUCCAUUUCUUCGCCCCAGGCAAGAUUGGCCGCCAUCUUGGUCGAUUUUCUUUAGCCAAGAGAAGUAGUCACAUGGCUAAAAUCUGUAUUCUGAUUGGAGGAUCCCAAAAAGUUGCCUACUGUGUUGCCCAAUCGAUCUAAUUUCCCAGAUAAUGAAAAGUUUCCGCUUUUCAAUAGAAAAUAUUGCCGGCAAUCGUCAGCAAUAUUGCUGCCCAAAAAAGUUGCCCGUGUAUCAUGGCCUUUAGUGUGCAGGCGGAGUGAUUAGAAAGUGAAUUGGGACCAGGCCAAAUUGAUAAGAAGGAGAACUCGGCUGAAAUCAAACCACUGCCAAACAUGGCACCGCUUACAAACUGCAUACUCAUAGUGGUUCUAAACUUUUUGUUUAGUGACACACCACACUAGUGGAGAGCGCAGUUCAGAUUCUGCAGUUGUGAUCGGAAAACAUAGAAUAGAUUGCCGCACCAAACUUUCACAAAUGGACAUCCGAUUUGAUUUCAGAGUCACUUGAGUUAAUUUAGUGUUGCAAAAAAAGAAGAAAGUAAGCUCGGGACGAAGGCAGCUUGCUGCCAAAACGUUGGAGAUAAAAAUCUGCAUUGGAGUAAACAGAGUGUGCGACCCUUUUUCUGAAGUACGUUGCCAUCAAAUUGCUAUAUUGAAACUACGACAAAUCGUUACAUUAUGCAACACCAUGUCACCACCACUCAAGUUUUAUCCGCCUGCACAAAACCUAGCUCGGAUGUACACAGCGUACUUCAUAUGGAUAUGUUAGUACUCUGGGUACGUGGAAACUCAUUUUUGCCUGAACCACCCCUGAAAGGUUAUCUACCCUGUUUCCAUAAGUUCUGGCUAAAUUGGCAGGUCUUUUCAAAGACAUGGCACAUAAAUAGGGAGUUGCAAAAAAUGACCAAUGGCAUGAUGCACCCCCCCAUCAGCACCUGGUAAUGGCACAAUAGGCUGCCACCACCAGAACACCAUGAUGCUCCAAAGGGCUUGUGUUCCAAAGGGUUGGUGCUCCAAAGGGCUGGAGCCCCAAAGGGCUUGUGUUCCAAAGGGUUGGGUGCACAGUACCCUCAUGCUCUGUGCAUCUGGUAUAGAUUAAUGAGCUGACUGGGCCAUGGGUGUAUGGAAGUCUGCUUUAGAGACAAAUAUCUAAACACAGACUAAAGGUGUGCCUUAUAUUCAUCCAAGACGAAUCGUAUUUGCAUCCACAGAGUCACACAGACUUUUCUGCAGCCGCCAAGAUGAACUGACCCAUAAAGGUAAACACACCUGUUUUUAUAAUGCAGAAGAUACUGAAUUUCAAGUAAAAGCCACAGUGUUAGUAUCACACACUAUAUUUAAUGUUUUUACAUCAAAGCAUCAAAACCAGUUAUAGAGAAAAAAACAUUUUUAAUUAGACAUACUAAAGACACCCUCUGUACCCUCUGAAGAGAGGGAAGCUUAUCAUAUGACCUGUUCAGCCCCAACAACCCCGUAAACAACAAUAAUCCUUGCUAAAGUUGCUCAGGUCAAAACAAAAAAAAAAUUACAUGUUAAAUAUACUUCAAAUAUAAUCACACAUUUUACUAUAUUUGUCCAUACAGCACAAAACAAAUUAAAUUACUGGGCAUUUAGCUUUAUGUAUACAAAAGCUGACAAGUGGGAAUCUCCUCAACCCCCCCACCCCCCACCCCACA
Molecule: long non-coding RNA, 2181 nt
Organism: Anguilla rostrata (American eel)
Lineage: Eukaryota; Metazoa; Chordata; Actinopteri; Anguilliformes; Anguillidae
Exons: 2
Source: RefSeq, a predicted model, not a curated record